GCAGGCGGGGAAGCUCAUCAGCGGGGCCACAUGCUGAGUGCUCCUCACUCCUCCGGCCCGGGAAGUUCUGAGACUGUGGCCUCCAGCAGCACUAACCGGGCCCUCCUGGAGCAGGGAGGUGAGUUCCCAGAGAGCAGGGCUCCACGUGUGGGUAGACUUUCAAGCUCGUGGGAGCUUGAAACAGACUCACUGUGGAGCAGGGGGGAAGAGGGUGGGGUGCAGGCAGUAUUAGCAUACAAGAGAAGCUCGGUGGCUCUUACAGAGGAGGGAGAGAUAUGGCAAGGGCCAUUUCCCUCAGUAACUCUCUUGCAGC
Molecule: RNase P RNA, 313 nt
Filed under: Neotoma lepida (desert woodrat)
Lineage: Eukaryota; Metazoa; Chordata; Mammalia; Rodentia; Cricetidae
Description: Nuclear RNase P
Rfam family: Nuclear RNase P
About the family: Ribonuclease P (RNase P) is a ubiquitous endoribonuclease, found in archaea, bacteria and eukarya as well as chloroplasts and mitochondria. Its best characterised activity is the generation of mature 5'-ends of tRNAs by cleaving the 5'-leader elements of precursor-tRNAs. Cellular RNase Ps are ribonucleoproteins.
Source: Rfam by way of RNAcentral